RNAcentral lists this ribosomal RNA (126 nucleotides) under Agaricus comtulus. Its description in RNAcentral is "5.8S ribosomal RNA". It matches the Rfam family "5.8S ribosomal RNA", at positions 31 to 154 of the family's 154-position model. From Rfam's summary of the family: 5.8S ribosomal RNA (5.8S rRNA) is a component of the large subunit of the eukaryotic ribosome. The record is from RNAcentral. Lineage: Eukaryota; Fungi; Basidiomycota; Agaricomycetes; Agaricales; Agaricaceae.
CAUCGAUGAAGAACGCAGCGAAAUGCGAUAAGUAAUGUGAAUUGCAGAAUUCAGUGAAUCAUCGAAUCUUUGAACGCAUCUUGCGCUCCUUGGUAUUCCGAGGAGCAUGCCUGUUUGAGUGUCAUU